AAUUUAAGUAGAGGUCGCAUUGUUUAUCAGUAUUCCUAUGGAUGCCGCGGCAGGCAGUUGAAGCAGGGAAGAAAGGAAACGAUGCCGAAGUAAAAUGUCGGCCGCAGAUGUUUUGCUGGGCGUAAAGUCAAUAGCUUUGCGACUGUCAUCAGCAGAUGGAGAGCUACGUACAGA
Molecule: regulatory RNA element, 174 nt
Organism: Eubacterium sp. CAG:86
Lineage: Bacteria; Bacillati; Bacillota; Clostridia; Eubacteriales; Eubacteriaceae
Rfam family: Lysine riboswitch aptamer
About the family: Riboswitches are metabolite binding domains within certain messenger RNAs that serve as precision sensors for their corresponding targets. Allosteric rearrangement of mRNA structure is mediated by ligand binding, and this results in modulation of gene expression.
Source: Rfam